RNAcentral lists this ribosomal RNA (407 nucleotides) under uncultured bacterium. Its description in RNAcentral is "partial 16S ribosomal RNA". It matches the Rfam family "Bacterial small subunit ribosomal RNA", at positions 28 to 526 of the family's 1533-position model. The record is from RNAcentral.
GACGAACGCUGGCGGCGUGCCUAAUACAUGCAAGUAGGACGCAGUUGCGAACGGGUGAGUAACGCGUAGGUAACUACCUAUUAGAGGGGGAUAACUAUUGGAAACGAUAGCUCAUACCGCAUACUAGUAGAUGGACCUGCGUUGUAUUAGCUAGUAGGUAGGGUAAUGGCCUACCUAGUCAACGAUACAUAGCCGACCGGAAAGGGUGAUCGGCCACACUGGGACGGAGACACGGCCCAGGCUCCUACGGGAGGCAGCAGUGGGGAAUCUGCGGCAAUGGACGAAAGUCUGACCGAGCAACGCCGCGGGAGUGAAGAAGGUUUUCGGAGCUUAAAACUCUGUGGUUAGAGAAGCGGUAUCUAACCAGAAAGCCACGGCUAACUACGUGCCAGCAGCCGCGGUAAUUC